This 292-nucleotide ribosomal RNA is filed under the name uncultured bacterium. RNAcentral's name for it is "partial 16S ribosomal RNA". It matches the Rfam family "Bacterial small subunit ribosomal RNA", at positions 505 to 796 of the family's 1533-position model. The record is from RNAcentral.
GUGCCAGCAGCCGCGGUAAUACGUAGGGUGCAAGCAUUGUCCGGAUUUAUUGGGCGUAAAGAGCUCGUAGGCGGCUUGUCACGUCGGGUGUGAAAACUCGGGGCUCAACCCCGAGCCUGCACUCGAUACGGGCUAGCUAGAGUGUUGCAGGGGAGACUGGAAUUCCUGGUGUAGCGGUGAAAUGCGCAGAUAUCAGGAGGAACACCGGUGGCGAAGGCGGGUCUCUGGGCAACUACUGACGCUGAGGAGCGAAAGCGUGGGGAGCGAACAGGAUUAGAAACCCUGGUAGUCC